RNAcentral lists this long non-coding RNA (204 nucleotides) under Elaeis guineensis (African oil palm). RNAcentral describes it as "long non-coding RNA (EGUI_LNC017593)". The record is from RNAcentral. Lineage: Eukaryota; Viridiplantae; Streptophyta; Magnoliopsida; Arecales; Arecaceae.
GUCAUGAAUCAAAACUUCGGAGAUUUGGCCAUUUUGAUUUUAAUACAUUUCGAUUUUCAUUUCGAUUCUGAUUACAAUCACGAACCAAAUACCUCCUAAGUUUUUUGUUCUUCAGCUUAAGGAACUAUUUCUUAAGAGAAUGGAACGAAGAGUCAUUCAAUCUAAGGGCUUGCUUAAUAUUGCUACUCUUUUGUUUUUUGAUUU